Molecule: long non-coding RNA, 437 nt
Filed under: Homo sapiens (human)
Lineage: Eukaryota; Metazoa; Chordata; Mammalia; Primates; Hominidae
Description: HSALNT0357959
Source: RNAcentral
UUCACUGGCAUGUUCUGUCUGUGGAAAGGAAACUAUUAUUGGUUUUGACAAAUUGGCUGACCCUAUGCAAAAUUCAAAUCCAAACUCUGUUUAAAAUCCAAGUGAGUUGUCUAAACAUUAAUCACUGAGGUUAGAUGAAGGCUUACUUCAUCGGUAUUCAGCACUUUGCCUUAAGAUGAAAGCAGGGAAGAAACCUCCUCGGUUGGAGAGGAAAUAGUCUUAUCUGAGACCAAAGACUGACAUCAUUUGCUCAUACCCAACUCCCAUUGACUUCAAUCAACUUCAACUUCCUAUCAGAAAGAAUUUUGCUACAGGUUAAAAUUUUGAGCUUCACUGAUAGUAUUACAAGAGGAUCAAGGCUUGUAAUAAUGAGUUUAAUAUCUUGGAUACAGAAGGAAUAAUUGGAUUCUGGCAAAAGACAUAAUUUUAUAUGAAUC